UCGUAACAAGGUCUCCGUUGGUGAACCAGCGGAGGGAUCAUUA
Molecule: ribosomal RNA, 43 nt
Filed under: Fusarium culmorum
Lineage: Eukaryota; Fungi; Ascomycota; Sordariomycetes; Hypocreales; Nectriaceae
Also listed under: 121 other names
Description: partial 18S ribosomal RNA
Rfam family: Eukaryotic small subunit ribosomal RNA
Source: RNAcentral